This 583-nucleotide ribosomal RNA is filed under the name Lactiplantibacillus plantarum. RNAcentral describes it as "bacterial SSU rRNA". It matches the Rfam family "Bacterial small subunit ribosomal RNA", at positions 62 to 611 of the family's 1533-position model. The record is from RNAcentral. Lineage: Bacteria; Bacillati; Bacillota; Bacilli; Lactobacillales; Lactobacillaceae.
UCGACGAACUCUGGUAUUGAUUGGUGCUUGCAUCAUGAUUUACAUUUGAGUGAGUGGCGAACUGGUGAGUAACACGUGGGAAACCUGCCCAGAAGCGGGGGAUAACACCUGGAAACAGAUGCUAAUACCGCAUAACAACUUGGACCGCAUGGUCCGAGUUUGAAAGAUGGCUUCGGCUAUCACUUUUGGAUGGUCCCGCGGCGUAUUAGCUAGAUGGUGGGGUAACGGCUCACCAUGGCAAUGAUACGUAGCCGACCUGAGAGGGUAAUCGGCCACAUUGGGACUGAGACACGGCCCAAACUCCUACGGGAGGCAGCAGUAGGGAAUCUUCCACAAUGGACGAAAGUCUGAUGGAGCAACGCCGCGUGAGUGAAGAAGGGUUUCGGCUCGUAAAACUCUGUUGUUAAAGAAGAACAUAUCUGAGAGUAACUGUUCAGGUAUUGACGGUAUUUAACCAGAAAGCCACGGCUAACUACGUGCCAGCAGCCGCGGUAAUACGUAGGUGGCAAGCGUUGUCCGGAUUUAUUGGGCGUAAAGCGAGCGCAGGCGGUUUUUUAAGUCUGAUGUGAAAGCCUUCGGCUCA